GCGUGAUCGCUCCGAGGAGCCAAACAAUUUAAGCAAACGGGUAACAGCUGACAUCAUUGCUCAUGACAGGCCAACAGAGGCAUGAAAAUUGGAUUUCCAUCCUGUGGACUGAAGCAGAAAGUCUGAGCAGAGAGGUGUCAGACUGCCGGCCUCGACAGCCCUCCUUGUCCCUCUUCCUCCCCGAUGAGAUGCUUUCUGCUUCCUUCUGUUCUGAAGGGACAGUUUGGACCAGGGGACGCACUCCUUCAUCCAGGACAGCCUCUUCUGUUCUGUGUGCUCUGGCAGGGAGGGGAUUUUGUCAUCAGUAAUAAGUGGACCACACAUCAGUCAUGAAGGGCAACAAAGAAAAUGGGACAACAGUGACCUCUUGUGGACAACAACUCUAUCACUAAAGAAGAGUCAUAAAGCUUCCACUGAAAAAGAACACAGUUUAAAGUAUGCCUGAGUGGAAAAACCCCACAUCUGUUUUACUUGUCAUGCUUUAUUUGUUUUCUUUGGGUCUCAAAAUAAGAGUUGUUGCUCAAUGCUCAAUAUUCAGUGGCAUCAUUUCCUUACUUUACAAAAGUUAAUAGGUGCACUUGUUUUCGGCUGUUUGGUUAAAAGAAAACUACUCAGCCAUGUUCACCUCAUUUUCUUCCACAUGUACUGUACCUUCAUUGUUGGGACACACUGACACACUGUGAGUGAGAAGGUCCU
This is a long non-coding RNA of Notolabrus celidotus (New Zealand spotty), 696 nucleotides long. RefSeq lists it as uncharacterized. The record is from RefSeq and is a predicted model, not a curated record. The transcript is spliced from 3 exons. NCBI's taxonomy places the organism in Eukaryota, Metazoa, Chordata, Actinopteri, Labriformes, Labridae.